This 643-nucleotide ribosomal RNA is filed under the name uncultured bacterium. RNAcentral's name for it is "bacterial SSU rRNA". It matches the Rfam family "Bacterial small subunit ribosomal RNA", at positions 232 to 885 of the family's 1533-position model. The record is from RNAcentral.
CGCGGCCUAUCAGCUUGUUGGUGAGGUAAUGGCUCACCAAGGCGACGACGGGUAGCCGGCCUGAGAGGGUGACCGGCCACACUGGGACUGAGACACGGCCCAGACUCCUACGGGAGGCAGCAGUGGGGAAUAUUGCACAAUGGGCGGAAGCCUGAUGCAGCGACGCCGCGUGAGGGAUGACGGCCUUCGGGUUGUAAACCUCUUUCAGUAGGGAAGAAGCGAAAGUGACGGUACCUGCAGAAGAAGCGCCGGCUAACUACGUGCCAGCAGCCGCGGUAAUACGUAGGGCGCAAGCGUUAUCCGGAAUUAUUGGGCGUAAAGAGCUCGUAGGCGGUUUGUCGCGUCUGCCGUGAAAGUCCGGGGCUCAACUCCGGACCUGCGGUGGGUACGGGCAGACUAGAGUGAUGUAGGGGAGACUGGAAUUCCUGGUGUAGCGGUGAAAUGCGCAGAUAUCAGGAGGAACACCGAUGGCGAAGGCAGGUCUCUGGGCAUUAACUGACGCUGAGGAGCGAAAGCAUGGGGAGCGAACAGGAUUAGAUACCCUGGUAGUCCAUGCCGUAAACGUUGGGCACUAGGUGUGGGGGACAUUCCACGUUUUCCGCGCCGUAGCUAACGCAUUAAGUGCCCCGCCUGGGGAGUACGG